RNAcentral lists this ribosomal RNA (253 nucleotides) under uncultured bacterium. RNAcentral describes it as "partial 16S ribosomal RNA". It matches the Rfam family "Bacterial small subunit ribosomal RNA", at positions 524 to 776 of the family's 1533-position model. The record is from RNAcentral.
UACAGAGGGUGCGAGCGUUAAUCGGAAUUACUGGGCGUAAAGCGUGCGUAGGUGGUUUGUUAAGUCUGAUGUGAAAGCCCUGGGCUCAACCUGGGAACUGCAUUGGAUACUGGCUUACUAGAGUGCGGUAGAGGGGUGUGGAAUUCCCGGUGUAGCAGUGAAAUGCGUAGAUAUCGGGAGGAACAUCUGUGGCGAAGGCGACACCCUGGACCAGCACUGACACUGAGGCACGAAAGCGUGGGGAGCAAACAGG